RNAcentral lists this ribosomal RNA (507 nucleotides) under uncultured bacterium. RNAcentral's name for it is "bacterial SSU rRNA". It matches the Rfam family "Bacterial small subunit ribosomal RNA", at positions 19 to 518 of the family's 1533-position model. The record is from RNAcentral.
CUGGCUCAGGAUGAACGCUGGCGGCGUGCCUAAUACAUGCAAGUCGAACGAGAUGUAGCAAUACAUCUAGUGGCGAACGGGUGAGUAACACGUAUUCAAUCUGCCCUAACGACUGGGAUACCCUCGGGAAACCUUGGCUAAUACCGGAUAGGAAAUCGAAUCGCAUGAUUUGAUUUUUAAAGGAUCUUUUGAUUCACGAUAGGAUGAGAAUGCGGCGCAUUAGUUAGUUGGUGAGAUAAAAGCCACCAAGACGAGGAUGCGUAGCCGACCUGAGAGGGUGAUCGGCCACAAUGGAACUGAGACACGGUCCAUACUCCUACGGGAGGCAGCAGUAGGGAGUUUUCGGCAAUGGGGGCAACCCUGACCGAGCAACGCCGCGUGAGUGAUGAAGGCCCUUAAUGGGUCGUAAAAUUCUGUUAUAUGGGACGGACCAUAUCACUGAGAGAAACGGUGGCAUCUGACUGUACCAUAUGAGAAAGGAACGGCUAACUACGUGCCAGCAGCGGC